GUUUGCUCUUUUUAUAACAACUCAUUCUCCUGAGAACUAAUCUACUCCUGUCAAACUGGACCCACAUCCACAAGACAACAUUAAUCCACUCAUGAGAGUGGAGCUCCUGUGACCUAAUCUCCUUCUGCAAGGUCCCACCUUUUAAAGGUCUCAUCACUUCUCCACACUGCUACACUGGGGACCAAACCUCCUACGUGUGAUGUUCUAGGAACAAACCAUACCCAGCACUGGACUAGGAUGCAAAACUGAAAAUAGUCUAGAUUACCCCAGUGGGGAGCUUGAGGCCAAAGACUACCCAUUGCUUGGGUCCUGCAUCGGACCAAUUCAUCCCCAGUAUCCCUGGAGAGCAUCACCAAGCUCAAAUGCUGCCCCGAGUCCCAGAGGUGCAGCAGCUGGAGGCUGUCAGCUCACCAGACUCCUGGUGGCUGAACAAUAUGUCCUUUCUUAGAGAGAGAACUACACGGUGCACCUCUAGCCAACCUUUGGAUGUAGUCCGAGUCAUGAUGUCUUUCUAGUGGCUGGAGAGCCUCAAGAGGGCCUGUGUGGUCAUAGAGGGAAAGGAAGGAGAGAGCCACUACAUUACCUUCUAGAGUGGGAAGUCAGUAAGUCUGGGACCUGAAACCCUAAGAAACACCAAGAAGAGCUAGGUACAGUCACAUGUCACUUGGUAACAGGGACACGUUACAACUAAAGCAUUAUUAGGCAAUUACAAUGCUGUGUGAACAUCAUGGAAUGACCUUAUAAAGCCCAGAUGGUACUGCCUGGUACUCACCUUGGAAGCGAGGGUCAGCUCACAGACCUGGACAGCUCCUUACUACACUGAACACUAGGCAACUGAAACAUAAUGUAAGUAUUUGUGUACUUAAACACAUCUAAGCACAAAAAAAACUGCAGUAAAAAUUCUAGGCAACAGGACAUUUUCAGCUCCACAACAAUUGGAUGGGGCAUUGGAUGGAGCCACCAUCUACAUGGUGCUCCCUCACUGGUCCAGAUGGCGUUCUGCAGUGCCUGACUGUGUGUAGAGAUAAGAAGAUAAUCUACAAAAGAACCAGCUACAAAGUUCUGAAAGCAGUUUUCUCUGGGGAAGGGCCAGUUCGGGGAAGGGAACAGAGAGGUCCCAAGAGCUCCUGGGUGCUCCCAGGGAAGUGGUCACCAUCCAGACCUUAGCCUCGAUGCAAGGCAGAGCAGCCCUGGAGAGCCCAGUGUUGCCUUUAACUGAUGCGGCCUCUGAUCCCUACCACCCAGCCAUGUCUGCCACCUCUCAAUGCCACAGCCAGGACCUCGAACAUCACCACUGAGCAGAAGAGGCCUGAGAGGACCAGGGCAUAAGCCCCUAGCAACUGCACACCUCCUCUGUCCUGGGACAGUCCCAGGCUACUGAGCCUGAAUCCUAGCCUGGUUGUUAACAUCCUUGGCAAGUGCUGCAAAGGGCUAGAGUAUCCAUAUUUCAGCAUGUGCAGGCCACACUGGCUCUGCCAUGAUUGCCUAGCAUGCCCUGACUGUGGAAAGUUGGCCGCAGACAGUAUGGUCAGCCCUCUGCAUCUGUAUCCCUGAGUUUUGCAACCAACUUGGUAUCAAAAAAAAAAUUUUUUUUUUGGCCAAGGAUUUAGCUCAGUGACACUGUGCCUGCCUUGCAAGUACAAGGAUCCAAGUUUGAUUCCCCAGUACCAAAAAAAAAAAAUUUAAGUCAAUGCAGUGGUACAUACCUGUAAUUCCAACUAUUGGGGGUGCUGAGGCAGGAGGAUCAUGAGUUCAAGGCCAGCCUGGACAACUUAGCAAGACACUGUCUCAAAACAAAAAAAAAAAAGGGCUGGGAUGUAGCUCAGUGGUCGAGCCCUUGCCUAGCAGUCAUGAGACCCCAGGUUCGUCAUCCCAGCACCAAAACCAAACAAAAUCUGGUAAAACAAAUCCACGAGAAUAAAAUAUAUAGCAGUUGUAUUACGCAUUGAAAGUAACCUAUAGAUGAUUUUAAAUAUACAGGAGGAAGUACAUAGGUUAUAUGCAAAUACUGCACCAUUUAUGGGAUUUGAGGAUCCUCAGAUUUUGGUGUCCAGAUGGUCCUGAAACCAAUUCCCUGAGGGUACUGAUGGGCAGCUAUACACAGAUGAAUGUGUGGCCAUGUGCCAAUGAAAUUUUAUUCACAAAAACAGAC
Heterocephalus glaber (naked mole-rat) is the source of this 2152-nucleotide long non-coding RNA. Lineage: Eukaryota; Metazoa; Chordata; Mammalia; Rodentia; Bathyergidae. The record is from Ensembl.